UAGGGAAUCUUCGGCAAUGGGGGGAACCCUGACCGAGCAACGCCGCGUGAGUGAAGAAGGUUUUCGGAUCGUAAAGCUCUGUUGUUAAGGAAGAAAGAGUGUGAGAAUGGAAAGUUCAUACUGUGACGGUACUUAACCAUAAAGGGACGGCUAACUACGUGCCAGUAGCCGCGGUAAUACGUAGGUCCCGAGCGUUGUCCGGAUUUAUUGGGCGUAAAGCGAGCGCAGGCGGUUAGAUAAGUCUGAAGUUAAAGGCAGUGGCUCAACCAUUGUAGGCUUUGGAAACUGUUUAACUUGAGUGCAGAAGGGGAGGGUGGAAUUCCAUGUAUAGCGGUGAAAUGCGUAGAUAUAUGGAGGAACACCAGUGGCGAAGGAGACUCUCUGGUCUGUAACUGACGCUGAGGUUCGAAAGCGUGGGUAGCAAACAGG
This 429-nucleotide ribosomal RNA is filed under the name Bacteroidota bacterium. Its description in RNAcentral is "Bacteroidetes bacterium partial 16S ribosomal RNA". It matches the Rfam family "Bacterial small subunit ribosomal RNA", at positions 355 to 776 of the family's 1533-position model. The record is from RNAcentral. Lineage: Bacteria; Pseudomonadati; Bacteroidota.